GCGGAUUCACUAUGUUAUUCACAUGGUGAGACGAGGGGCUCAAAAGGGAACGCAAGCAAGGUGCACAUGCGGUUCGUGCCGCUCAAUGGAUACGAGACGCGAAGACGUCUGCUGAACAAGAUAGAAACUGAUGUUCUGAGGCUGGAACAACAUAGAAGGGACAGAUACAAACAAAGCCUCAAAUUGCCUAAGAAAUCAACGAUGAAAGAUGAAAGUCAUUGAAAAGGAGAUACCGC
Ornithodoros turicata is the source of this 236-nucleotide long non-coding RNA. RefSeq lists it as uncharacterized. The transcript has 3 exons. The record is from RefSeq and is a predicted model, not a curated record. NCBI's taxonomy places the organism in Eukaryota, Metazoa, Arthropoda, Arachnida, Ixodida, Argasidae.